UAACCUUGCGGCCGUACUCCCCAGGCGGUCAACUUCACGCGUUAGCUGCGGUACUAAAGAAGUCUCCUUCCCCAACACCUAGUUGACAUCGUUUAGGGCGUGGACUACCAGGGUAUCUAAUCCUGUUUGCUCCCCACGCUUUCGUGCAUGAGCGUCAGUAUCGACCCAGGGGGCUGCCUUCGCCAUCGGUAUUCCUCCACAUAUCUACGCAUUUCACUGCUACACGUGGAAUUCUACCCCCCUCUGCCGUACUCUAGCCUUGCAGUCACAAAUGCAGUUCCCAGGUUAAGCCCGGGGAUUUCACACCUGUCUUACAAAACCGCCUGCGCACGCUUUACGCCCAGUAAUUCCGAUUAACGCUCGCACCCUACGUAUUACCGCGGCUGCUGGCACGUAGUUAGCCGGUGCUUCUUCUGACGGUACCGUCAUUAACCACAGUUAUUAACCAUGAUCGUUUCUUCCCAUCUGAAAGAGCUUUACAACCCGAAGGCCUUCUUCACUCACGCGGCAUGGCUGGAUCAGGGUUGCCCCCAUUGUCCAAAAUUCCCCA
This 550-nucleotide ribosomal RNA is filed under the name uncultured bacterium. RNAcentral describes it as "partial 16S ribosomal RNA". The record is from RNAcentral.